GCUAGCGGCGGAUGGGUGAGUAACACGUGGGCAAUCUGCCCUAAAGACUGGGAUACCACUUGGAAACAGGUGCUAAUACCGGAUAACAACAUGAAUCGCAUGAUUCAAGUUUGAAAGGCGGCGCAAGCUGUCACUUUAGGAUGAGCCCGCGGCGCAUUAGCUAGUUGGUGGGGUAAAGGCCUACCAAGGCAAUGAUGCGUAGCCGAGUUGAGAGACUGAUCGGCCACAUUGGGACUGAGACACGGCCCAAACUCCUACGGGAGGCAGCAGUAGGGAAUCUUCCACAAUGGACGCAAGUCUGAUGGAGCAACGCCGCGUGAGUGAAGAAGGUCUUCGGAUCGUAAAGCUCUGUUGUUGGUGAAGAAGGAUAGAGGCAGUAACUGGUCUUUAUUUGACGGUAAUCAACCAGAAAGUCACGGCUAACUACGUGCCAGCAGCCGCGGUAAUACGUAGGUGGCAAGCGUUGUCCGGAUUUAUUGGGCGUAAAGCGAGCGCAGGCGGAAUGAUAAGUCUGAUGUGAAAGCCCACGGCUCAACCGUGGAACUGCAUCGGAAACUGUCAUUCUUGAGUGCAGAAGAGGAGAGUGGAACUCCAUGUGUAGCGGUGGAAUGCGUAGAUAUAUGGAAGAACACCAGUGGCGAAGGCGGCUCUCUGGUCUGCAACUGACGCUGAGGCUCGAAAGCAUGGGUAGCGAACAGGAUUAGAUACCCUGGUAGUCCAUGCCGUAAACGAUGAGCGCUAGGUGUUGGGGACUUUCCGGU
This 761-nucleotide ribosomal RNA is filed under the name Lactobacillus delbrueckii. RNAcentral's name for it is "bacterial SSU rRNA". It matches the Rfam family "Bacterial small subunit ribosomal RNA", at positions 91 to 837 of the family's 1533-position model. Lineage: Bacteria; Bacillati; Bacillota; Bacilli; Lactobacillales; Lactobacillaceae. RNAcentral also lists the same sequence under 2 other names. The record is from RNAcentral.